RNAcentral lists this non-coding RNA (85 nucleotides) under uncultured Blautia sp. Its description in RNAcentral is "NiCo riboswitch". It matches the Rfam family "NiCo (Nickel/Cobalt) riboswitch aptamer". Lineage: Bacteria; Bacillati; Bacillota; Clostridia; Lachnospirales; Lachnospiraceae. The record is from RNAcentral.
ACAGUACAAACUGAGCAGACCGUGACAGUAUGUCAUGGAGUCGGGUCACAUGAGUGACAGUGGUAUCUUUCAUCCACGGGACAGU